GGAUCGAUGAUGAACCCCACAAAAACAUUCCUUGGAAAAGCUGAACCAAAUGAGUGAAAGCUCAUUACCGUCGUUCUCAUCGUGACUGAGGUCC
Molecule: small nucleolar RNA, 94 nt
Filed under: Jaculus jaculus (lesser Egyptian jerboa)
Lineage: Eukaryota; Metazoa; Chordata; Mammalia; Rodentia; Dipodidae
Description: Small nucleolar RNA SNORD116 (ENSJJAG00000005920.1)
Rfam family: Small nucleolar RNA SNORD116
About the family: HBII-85 is a member of the C/D class of snoRNAs, which contain the C (UGAUGA) and D (CUGA) box motifs.
Source: Rfam by way of RNAcentral